RNAcentral lists this transfer RNA (154 nucleotides) under Microcaldota archaeon. Its description in RNAcentral is "tRNA-Leu". The record is from RNAcentral. Lineage: Archaea; Nanobdellati; Microcaldota.
GCAGGGGUGCCAGAGCCAGGCCAAAUGGGCAGGACUUAAGAUCCUGUGACCUUAGGGUCUUCGAGAGUUCAAUGCCAAUCCCUUUUCUUGGAAAGAAAAGGUCUUGGCGAACCCCAAAAGAAAAAAGUGGGUUGGACAAAUCUCUCCCCCUGCA